AUGAGCUGCUUUAUUACAAAAAUGGGGGCUUUCAUACUUUGGCUACUACUGUUCUUCAGUGCAUUUCCAAUUCAUUUCUCGUAUCAUAUUCCUCGCCAUGGUAGCCACUAUCGAAGAAUGUGUCCUCCACCGCUGCCUCCACGGCGAAGGCCACAGCCACCGCCACCUCCAGCUUGGUUUUACUUCUACUCUCCUCCUCCUCCAAGUCCCCCGCACUCCCCUCACCGUCCUUCCUCACCACCACCUAGGCCUCCAAAUCCUUGA
This 264-nucleotide long non-coding RNA is filed under the name Prunus dulcis (almond). RNAcentral's name for it is "sRNA ncRNA". Lineage: Eukaryota; Viridiplantae; Streptophyta; Magnoliopsida; Rosales; Rosaceae. The record is from RNAcentral.